AAAAGAAGAAUAUGGAAAAUAAUGUUAAAGACUUGCUGCUGGAUUUAGCAAAGAUGAAUAGUGCAAGUUCAAAACCCAAACCAAAUAUUGCUCUUGGGGAAGAAUGUCAAGAAAAAAAAUGGCUUACACCUGAGCUGGUUAUCAGUAAUUUGCAGAAGUGUUGUGCCAACCAUAAUGUAUUAGCUGCAGUCUAUCAUUGGUAACCAUCUUGAGAUUCCAAUUGCUCAUUUGAAAUGGCUAAGUACUUCUUUUUCAUCUCAACGGCUGUGAUAUCUCGUACAGGAUAUAUUGAGUUGUAGUGAACCUCGGCCCAAAAGCUCAAGAAGAUAACUCGUUCAGACUUUUGAAUGGUGGGAAGUAUCUCAAUGUAGCAGGUAUCUCGGAAAGAUGUUAUGACCAAUAUUUUUACACCAUACGAAUCAGAAGCUGCUUGUAGAGUUACAUGAUCACCCCACUCGCCGUCCUUUGACAUCUUGUUCAGGUAAUCAUGAUAGGCCAUGGGAACAUAUCCGUCAUAUAUCUCUGGGCAUGACUUGAGCUGAUUUACAACUUGCUGUCUGACAAAUUUGUGAUGCUCAGGGGUGCGGUAAAAUUGAUCUGACAAAGCACGAAACUGACAAUUCCCAUCACCUUGAACUUUAAAUUCCACUAGUUCAUAAACCUGUA
RNAcentral lists this unclassified non-coding RNA (666 nucleotides) under Hevea brasiliensis (rubber tree). Lineage: Eukaryota; Viridiplantae; Streptophyta; Magnoliopsida; Malpighiales; Euphorbiaceae. The record is from RNAcentral.